UGACUCCUCACCAGGGCCCUUGGCUACUCUC
This 31-nucleotide non-coding RNA is filed under the name Mus musculus (house mouse). Lineage: Eukaryota; Metazoa; Chordata; Mammalia; Rodentia; Muridae. The record is from RNAcentral.